Molecule: long non-coding RNA, 1440 nt
Organism: Vollenhovia emeryi
Lineage: Eukaryota; Metazoa; Arthropoda; Insecta; Hymenoptera; Formicidae
Exons: 3
Source: RefSeq, a predicted model, not a curated record
AAUGUUUUUUUCAGCUGGAAAUAAAUAUCAACACGUUUUACUUUUAAUGUCUUUAAUUAAAAAUGUCUUCUAACUAGUAUAUUAGUUUCAAAAAAUAUACUAGAUACAAAAUUAAAUGCAGUAGCAUUUAAAUCUGUUUUGAAUAUAUAUAUGUAUAUAUACAUAUAUAAAUGGUUGAAAAUAUUUUUACAUAUGUUAUUUAAUAGUCCCAACAAAUAUCUCGUCUCAGAGAACCAGGAUUUUUCCAGUCUUUUUAAUUCUAUUUCUGUUUCCUCUCUUAUUUCCCUUACACCUAUUUACAAGUAGUGUCUAUACAUAUAGAAAUAGAAAAAGUAUUAAAAAAUCAGCUGUGCACUUAAAAUCCGCGAAUCAAUAAUAAAUGACGGAUUACUACGUGCACAAAUGUUGUUCUUGGUCUUGGGCGAAUGUGUGAGAUAUUAUUAUACUAAACCACGAUACUAUUUUACCUACCGAAUUUCUGGAAGAGCCAAUGAGGACGCCGAUUCUCAGAUCGAGUGACUUAAACCCUGAUUGGCUCUUGCAAGCAAUCCUGUGGGCAAAAUAGUAUGUGCCGUGUGUUGGCUCUAGUUGUCGGUGAUCCCUCGAGGUAGGAAAAUUGCGCUUAUACAUAUAACAAAAAUGAUAUUUUUAGAACUUCCUACGUAAACGAAAAGGAAAGUAAAACGUGAGUAAAUGUUAACAUGGUUGAAAUAAUAUUAAAGAAUUACCUAAAUUAUUUUAAAUUCGUGGAAAAAUUAGUUUCACCCUGAAAUGACCCCGUCAUCUUAACUCUAUUAAGGUGGUUGGCCCAGUAAUCGUCAAGGUACCAGUAAUCGCUAUGUUCACGCAUUAACGAUAUAAAAUAACGUUUUCUGUCGAUCGUUCGGCUUGUUGACAUUUUUGUUGGUCCUAAAGAGGUUAAACUACACCGAUUGACAUCUUGUGUAAUCUUGCGAUAUCCGACGACUCGCAUGAGAAUGUAUAAGGAGACCGAACUGCCCGUAAUCAGAAUGGGCCGACGAUUGUGCCCGCCAGACGUUCUGAAAAGCAACACUGGGAGCGCUGUCAUCAACUAACUCCAUUCGCAUUCGUACGUGACACAUGGUUGUCAUAUGCAUGAAGGUUCGUGGUUAUAUUAAUGAUAGAGUACGAGAGGUUAGGAAAAACAUAUAUUUUGGGUAUACAGUAACAAUAUUUAUACAGAACAGUUCUGUACCUACACGGCAACCAUGAACAUCGAGAGAUGCGACUUGUCAUUGUCUAAUCGGUCCUAAUGGCAUCUAACCACAUAUGUCAUACGCUGAUUUGUACACUUGAAGAGGGCCAAAACCAAUGGCCGAAACGUAGUGAGAAAAUAAAGGAUUUUUCCUGUAACCAUGCAGUCGUGUCGGAUUAUUCACCUGAUUGUUAAUAUAUGAGCAUAAGAUUAAUUCUACUCUA